UACGUAGGGUGCAAGCGUUAAUCGGAAUUACUGGGCGUAAAGCGUGCGCAGGCGGCUUUGCAAGACAGAUGUGAAAUCCCCGGGCUCAACCUGGGAACUGCAUUUGUGACUGCAUGGCUGGAGUGCGGCAGAGGGGGAUGGAAUCCCGCGUGUAGCAGUGAAAUGCGUAGAGAUGCGGAGGAACACCGAUGGCGAAGGCAGCCCCCUGGGCUGACACUGACGCUCAGGCACGAAAGCGUGGGGAGCAAACAGG
RNAcentral lists this ribosomal RNA (253 nucleotides) under uncultured bacterium. RNAcentral's name for it is "partial 16S ribosomal RNA". It matches the Rfam family "Bacterial small subunit ribosomal RNA", at positions 524 to 776 of the family's 1533-position model. The record is from RNAcentral.